GGAGAGGUAUCGAAGUGGUCAUAACGAGGCGGUCUUGAAAACCGUUUGGGUUCACGCCCGCGUGGGUUCGAAUCCCACCCUCUCCGCCA
RNAcentral lists this transfer RNA (89 nucleotides) under Peptoniphilus sp. oral taxon 375. Its description in RNAcentral is "tRNA-Ser". It matches the Rfam family "tRNA". Rfam says of the family: Transfer RNA (tRNA) molecules are approximately 80 nucleotides in length. The record is from RNAcentral. Lineage: Bacteria; Bacillati; Bacillota; Tissierellia; Tissierellales; Peptoniphilaceae. RNAcentral also lists the same sequence under 3 other names.